GAUGAACGCUGGCGGCGUGCUUAACACAUGCAAGUCGAACGAAGCAACUGGACGGAAAUUUUCGGAUGGAAGACCAGUUGACUGAGUGGCGGACGGGUGAGUAACGCGUGGGCAACCUGCCUCAUACAGGGGGAUAACAGUUAGAAAUGACUGCUAAUACCGCAUAAGCGCACAGAAUCGCAUGAUUCAGUGUGAAAAACUCCGGUGGUAUGAGAUGGAUCCGCGUCUGAUUAGCUAGUUGGAGGGGUAACGGCCCACCAAGGCAACGAUCAGUAGCCGGCCUGAGAGGGCGACCGGCCACAUUGGGACUGAGACACGGCCCAAACUCCUACGGGAGGCAGCAGUGGGGAAUAUUGCACAAUGGGGGAAACCCUGAUGCAGCGACGCCGCGUGAGCGAAGAAGUAUUUCGGUAUGUAAAGCUCUAUCAGCAGGGAAGAAAAUGACGGUACCUGACUAAGAAGCCCCGGCUAACUACGUGCCAGCAGCCGCCGUAAAAC
RNAcentral lists this ribosomal RNA (498 nucleotides) under uncultured bacterium. RNAcentral's name for it is "bacterial SSU rRNA". It matches the Rfam family "Bacterial small subunit ribosomal RNA", at positions 28 to 526 of the family's 1533-position model. The record is from RNAcentral.